This 232-nucleotide long non-coding RNA is filed under the name Elaeis guineensis (African oil palm). RNAcentral's name for it is "long non-coding RNA (EGUI_LNC052846)". Lineage: Eukaryota; Viridiplantae; Streptophyta; Magnoliopsida; Arecales; Arecaceae. The record is from RNAcentral.
ACCGAACAAAAAUCUCCUCCCUCUCCACUCUCUUAACCAUAAAAAUCUCUUAAAAUCCCUCUUCCCAUCGGGUUUCCCCCUUCAAAUUGUUUUUUUAGGAACUAAAUUCUAUUUCUUUUUCUUUUUUGUUUGGGCGGAUCAAGCUUAUCCUAGCUUCAAAUCUUUUUCUGCAAACUGACGAUCUAUCUCCCCAAAAAAUCCUUAUUUUUUCUCUAAAAUCUUUUUCACUCUC